AGACGUCUACAUUAGAUACCCGCGUAGUCCCAGCCGUAAACUAUGCGCGUUAGGUGUAUCGGUGACCACGAGUCACCGAGGUGCCGAAGGGAAACCGUGAAACGUGCCGCCUGGGAAGUACGGUCGCAAGGCUGAAACUUAAAGGAAUUGGCGGGGAGCACCACAACGGGUGGAGCCUGCGGUUUAAUUGGAUUCAACGCCGGACAUCUCACCGGAUAAGACAGCUGAAUGAUUGUCAAUCUGAAGGUUUUACAUGACUAGCUG
RNAcentral lists this ribosomal RNA (264 nucleotides) under uncultured archaeon. Its description in RNAcentral is "partial 16S ribosomal RNA". It matches the Rfam family "Archaeal small subunit ribosomal RNA", at positions 717 to 982 of the family's 1478-position model. The record is from RNAcentral.